RNAcentral lists this non-coding RNA (27 nucleotides) under Rattus norvegicus (Norway rat). The record is from RNAcentral. Lineage: Eukaryota; Metazoa; Chordata; Mammalia; Rodentia; Muridae.
UGAAGAAAUGUUACCAUCAGAGACGCA